AUUGAACGCUGGCGGCAUGCUUUACACAUGCAAGUCGAACGGUAACAGGCCGCAAGGUGCUGACGAGUGGCGAACGGGUGCGUAAUGCAUCGGAACGUGCCCAGUCGUGGGGGAUAACUACUCGAAAGAGUAGCUAAUACCGCAUACGACCUAUGGAUGAAAGCGGGGGACCGUAAGGCCUCGCGCGAUUGGAGCGGCCGAUGUCAGAUUAGGUAGUUGGUGGGGUAAAGGCUCACCAAGCCAACGAUCUGUAGCUGGUCUGAGAGGACGACCAGCCACACUGGGACUGAGACACGGCCCAGACUCCUACGGGAGGCAGCAGUGGGGAAUUUUGGACAAUGGGCGCAAGCCUGAUCCAGCAAUGCCGCGUGCAGGAAGAAGGCCUUCGGGUUGUAAACUGCUUUUGUACGGAACGAAACGGCUCUGGUUAAUACCCGGGGCUAAUGACGGUACCGUAAGAAUAAGCACCGGCUAACUACGUG
Molecule: ribosomal RNA, 482 nt
Filed under: uncultured bacterium
Lineage: Bacteria
Description: partial 16S ribosomal RNA
Rfam family: Bacterial small subunit ribosomal RNA
Source: RNAcentral